UGGGGAAUAUUGCACAAUGGGCGGAAGCCUGAUGCAGCGACGCCGCGUGAGGGAUGACGGCCUUCGGGUUGUAAACCUCUUUCGCCAGGGACGAAGCGAGAGUGACGGUACCUGGAUAAGAAGCACCGGCUAACUACGUGCCAGCAGCCGCGGUAAUACGUAGGGUGCGAGCGUUGUCCGGAAUUAUUGGGCGUAAAGAGCUCGUAGGCGGUUUGUCGCGUCGGCCGUGAAAACUGGAGGCUUAACCUUCAGCUUGCGGUCGAUACGGGCAGACUUGAGUUCGGUAGGGGAGACUGGAAUUCCUGGUGUAGCGGUGGAAUGCGCAGAUAUCAGGAGGAACACCGGUGGCGAAGGCGGGUCUCUGGGCCGAUACUGACGCUGAGGAGCGAAAGCGUGGGGAGCGAACAGGAUUAGAUACCCCCGUAGUCC
Molecule: ribosomal RNA, 429 nt
Filed under: uncultured prokaryote
Description: bacterial SSU rRNA
Rfam family: Bacterial small subunit ribosomal RNA
Source: RNAcentral